CUGCCACUGAUAAAUAAUUUUUAAUGGCCGCAGUAUUUUGACGUGUGCAAAGGUAGCAUAAUCGUUAGUUUUUUAAUUGAAAUCUUGUAUGAAUGGUUUGACAAAAAAAAAUCUGUCUUUAUGAUUAUUUAUUGAAUUUAACUUUUAAGUGAAAAGGCUUAAAUAAAUUAAAAAGACGAUAAGACCCUAUAAAACUUAAUAUUAAUUUUUUAUUUUAAUAAAAUUUUUAGUAAUAUAAAUAUUUAGUAAUUAGUUUUAUUUUAUUGGGGUGAUAAUGGUAAAAUGAUUAUUAACUGUUAAUUGUAUUUAUAACAAAUAUAAAUGAAUAAAAUAAGUAUAUUGAUUUAUAAAUGAUCCUAUAUAAAGAUUAAAAGUUUAAGUUACUUUAGGGAUAACAGCGUCAUUUUUUUUGAGAGUUCUUAUCGAAAAAAAAGUUUGCGACCUCGAUGUUGAAUUAAAAUAUCUGUAUAAUUGUAGCAGUUAUAUAAGAAGGUCUGUUCGACC
Molecule: ribosomal RNA, 504 nt
Filed under: Leptarma gracilipes
Lineage: Eukaryota; Metazoa; Arthropoda; Malacostraca; Decapoda; Sesarmidae
Description: partial large subunit ribosomal RNA
Source: RNAcentral